UACGAAGGGGGCUAGCGUUGUUCGGAAUCACUGGGCGUAAGGGGCGCGUAGGCGGCUUUAUAAGUCGGGGGUGAAAGCCUGUGGCUCAACCACAGAAUUGCCUUCGAUACUGUAGAGCUUGAGACCGGAAGAGGUAAGUGGAACUGCGAGUGUAGAGGUGAAAUUCGUAGAUAUUCGCAAGAACACCAGUGGCGAAGGCGGCUUACUGGUCCGGUUCUGACGCUGAGGCGCGAAAGCGUGGGGAGCAAACAGG
This 253-nucleotide ribosomal RNA is filed under the name uncultured bacterium. Its description in RNAcentral is "partial 16S ribosomal RNA". It matches the Rfam family "Bacterial small subunit ribosomal RNA", at positions 524 to 776 of the family's 1533-position model. The record is from RNAcentral.